CCUACGGGAGGCUGCAGUGGGGAAUAUUGGACAAUGGGCGAAAGCCUGAUCCAGCCAUGCCGCGUGUGUGAAGAAGGCCUUCGGGUUGUAAAGCACUUUCAGUGGGGAAGAAAGCCUUGGGGCUAAUACCCUCGAGGAAGGACAUCACCCACAGAAGAAGCACCGGCUAACUCCGUGCCAGCAGCCGCGGUAAUACGGAGGGUGCGAGCGUUAAUCGGAAUUACUGGGCGUAAAGCGCGCGUAGGCGGUCUGAUAAGCCGGUUUUGAAAGCCCCGGGCUCAACCUGGGAACGGCAUCCGGAACUGUCAGGCUAGAGUGCAGGAGAGGAAGGUAGAAUUCCCGGUGUAGCGGUGAAAUGCGUAGAGAUCGGGAGGAAUACCAGUGGCGAAGGCGGCCUUCUGGACUGACACUGACGCUGAGGUGCGAAAGCGUGGGUAGCAAACAGGAUUAGAUACCCUGGUAGUC
This 465-nucleotide ribosomal RNA is filed under the name Vreelandella stevensii. RNAcentral describes it as "partial 16S ribosomal RNA". It matches the Rfam family "Bacterial small subunit ribosomal RNA", at positions 338 to 795 of the family's 1533-position model. Lineage: Bacteria; Pseudomonadati; Pseudomonadota; Gammaproteobacteria; Oceanospirillales; Halomonadaceae. The record is from RNAcentral.